This 254-nucleotide ribosomal RNA is filed under the name uncultured bacterium. Its description in RNAcentral is "partial 16S ribosomal RNA". It matches the Rfam family "Bacterial small subunit ribosomal RNA", at positions 524 to 776 of the family's 1533-position model. The record is from RNAcentral.
UACAGAGGUCUCAAGCGUUGUUCGGAUUCAUUGGGCGUAAAGGGUGCGUAGGUGGCGCGGUAAGUCGGGUGUGAAAUCUCGGAGCUUAACUCCGAAAUUGCAUUCGAUACUGCCGUGCUUGAGGACUGGAGAGGAGACUGGAAUUCCAGGUGUAGCGGUGAAAUGCGUAGAGAUCCGGAGGAACACCAAAGGCGAAGGCAGUGUCCUGGGGAGUACCUGACGCUGCAGGUGCGAAAGCCAGGGGAGCGAACGGG